Paramuricea clavata is the source of this 169-nucleotide non-coding RNA. Lineage: Eukaryota; Metazoa; Cnidaria; Anthozoa; Malacalcyonacea; Plexauridae. The record is from the annotation of a GenBank genome assembly.
GACUGUUUAAUUAAAACAAAGCAUUGCGAUAGCUGGUGACUGGUGUUGACGCAAUGUAUUUUCUGCCCAAGUGCUCUGAAUGUCAAAGUGAAGUAAUUCAUCCAAGCGCGGGUAAACGGCGGGAGUGACUAUUAUUAAUUCGGGUGUCAGGCCGAAAAAGCGAACCAAU